GAGGGAGAGAUGAGCUGUGUGUCAUCUGAAGGUUUUAGAUCCAGUCACUGUUCUCCACCCGAGCCGCUCCCAUCAGUUUUGUAUUCCAUGCGCGACUCAAAUUCUUUCUGUAUCAAUGCGCGUCAGCGCGAGGAGCUAAAAAGGACGUGAGAUGCGAGUGCAACGGUUAUAGCUGUCCGGCUAGCGCAUGUUUAUUUUGAAGCUGCUGUCGGUUAAUGAAGAUUUGAUGAAUGAACUCACGGCUCAGAUGGACUCUGUCCUGUCAAAAGUGAUAAGACUUUUCAGUUUUAUGGACGUCGCCAUCUUUGAAAUUACUUUUGUCAUCAUCGCUAUGGCUACUAGUAAGAGAAUGCAGGCUUGACUCUCGGUGCAAGUUGCUGUUUGAACGAGACAUUUCAAGACUCACACCUUUGCAGCGCGUUGAGCUCUCUUGGUCACCGUAGUUCACAGAUUGGCUUUGACGGUUGCAAUAUGGAGGACGGAUUAGCGGUAUAGCGGUCCAUUAGAAACAGCAACUAAUGAGGCAUCUACAGUAUGCAUAUCUACGCAUCCAGGACAGCUAGCACAGAUGCAGGUGAAGUUCAUCACGUACGUAUUCAGCACUCGGCUCCGCAGUGGGCCCGACCUGGGCAUAAUUUAUUGACUAAAGAUGGAGUCAAUAGAUCCUGAAGCACACUUAAACCCAGACAGCAGUGAUUACAAGGUGUUGAGCGCACGCCGCAAACUCCCUCCUCGCCCGUAUGUAUAGCUUACGUCUAUAAUAAAUGUUAUCUCUUCAUGAGAGGGGUAAGCUGUCAACUUGAUUAAGGACGCAGAUGAGCAUCUGAGUAUCUGGCCAAACACACUGAGAUAUGCAAAAAUACAGUCUGUUGUGUCGGGUUCUUGUUUGAAUGUAAUCGUCACUGCUUUUCUGCAUCGUUGCUUCUGGAUUUCAAUACAGCACAUUGAGUUACUCAGAGAACAGCACAGUUAUUAUGGUGGUAGUUAUUAAACAGCAUGGAUUCUGAACAUUAUUAAUGUUUAUGUAAUUGAAUAAGCAAAAUGCACAGCAAAUUUCUAGCAAUCAAAAACAGAGACAAAACUUCUAAUUUUCAUUGUAAAAGAUGCAAUUCAGCAGAUGCAGGUUGGAUUCAUUAUAGUGGCAAAAGUCCACUAUAAACGUGAAAGAAACAGUUGGUUCUACUUCUUCAGUUCUGUUCUUUUCUCAUUUAUUAAUGCACUGUUAUGAAAGCGUCAGGGUUCAUGGCUUCCACCUGAGCGCCCAAUCCUCUUUUGUCCUUUUAAAUGUUAUAAUUAGCUAGACAAGUGUGCGGCUUCUUCACUUGUCCUGUUAUCUUGUCCGUUAUCUUUGAACGGGUGUUAAAAACAGGCGCAGUUGUUUGUAACGAAUAUGUCUGCUUUCCCGGGCCGAUCCGAUGGCGCUGUAAACAUGACGCAGGUUAACAUGAGACCAUGUGGAACCUAACGCCCGCUGUGGGCGACUGCUCCUCAUCUCUGCUUGCAUAUCACAAGUUAAAAAGCUCAAAUUAUAUCACCUUUCCAGGGUAACUGCACUUCCAGUAGCCAGUCUCACCUUAGACUGACACUGAGCCAACCAGACAACAGACAUAGCAGUUACAGGAGGAGUAAGAGUAGAAAACAGUAAGUUAACAGUGACAGACAGAAAACUGCAGACACUCCCUACCUCUCCUCCAUAAAAGCCAUAUUAUUAUCACAUUUUGCAGCUCUUGUUCAUACGCCUUCCAUACGUAUUUGAACUCAUUUUCUUAUUCACACAAAUAUAAGUUUAUGAAACCCUGAAAUACAU
Megalobrama amblycephala (Wuchang bream) is the source of this 1807-nucleotide long non-coding RNA. RefSeq lists it as uncharacterized. The record is from RefSeq and is a predicted model, not a curated record. The transcript has 3 exons. NCBI's taxonomy places the organism in Eukaryota, Metazoa, Chordata, Actinopteri, Cypriniformes, Xenocyprididae.